AUAAAGGAACCGGGCAUCGGCUGCCUCCCACACACACAGCUCACAAGCAAACAAUCCGAGGCAGGCUAGGGUUUCUGCCGUCUCGGCUCAAGAAAAAUCCUCUCCCUCGCUUCUCCGUUCCUUUUCCCGCACGUGAUGGCUGGUAGAGGUCGUGUACCUCGCAAUAUUAUUGAUGGGCGGAGAGGUUAUGCUGAAAUGCCGGAAGGGCCAUUUGUUCGUGGUCCUCUCCCUCGUCCACCCCAUCCUGCCCUGUAUGAGGAACUUGAAAUGCAGCGGAAUGAAAUCCGGAGGCUUUUGGCAAACCAUCGUGCUUUGGUUGAAGAACGUGCUGCUAUGCAGCAGGAGCUAAUGGCUGCAAAGGAAGAGAUUCAUCGCAUGAAUAUGGUCAUGGCAGAUAUCCGUGCUGAUAAAGAGGCUCAUUGCAGAGAGCUGAUUGAGAAAGGCUUGAAGCUAGAGGCUGAUCUUAGAGCGACUGAGCCUUUAAGAAAUGAAGUAGUGCAGCUUCGAGCUGAAAUUCAAAAACUGAAUGUCUUGAGACAGGACCUUGUUGGUCAGGUCCAGACUCUCCAGCAAGACUUGACAAGGGCAAAAACUGAUAACAAAGAGAUCCCUAUUUUGAAGAGUGAGAUUGAUGGUCUGAGACAGGAACUAAUGCGAGCUAGGAGUGCUUUUGAGUAUGAGAAAAAAGGAAAUAUUGAUCUAAUGGAACAACGGCAAAUAAUGGAGAAAAAUUUGGUGUCCAUGGCACGCGAGAUUGAAAAGCUGAGGGCUGACUUGGCAAGCAUUGAUGGGAGGCCAUGGGGUGCAGGUGGAGCCUAUGGGAUGAAAGUUGGUAGUCCUGAAGGACCUUUCGCUUCAUCGUUUGGGGAUAACUACAACCGUCAUUUGGGAGUUGCUGACAAGGCCCCUAUGUAUGGUGGGAGUUCUGGUCCGCGGGGAGCAUUUGACAAGUCUCGCCCUGGACGUCGUUGAGACUGACAGUUGAACUGUCCUCCAAGACGCUUAUGGGUGCUCUUUAGUUUACUCAUGGUGGUUAUAUGCUCAAGGCCCUCGGUACGAAUUGAGGGAUCCUUCUUUCCUUGAGAGAGUAGAAAUUAGAUCUAACUUGAAAAUCUGGGAGAAUUAGGAAGCAAAACAAAUGCAGUGGUAUCCUGGAAAAGAAGUUUUCAUAGAUCCUUGAUGGGUGUGUUAAUGCCUUCCAUGAUGCCCUCGCAGGGAGAUAAAAAAUUGGAAUGGUAUGUUCAUAUACAGGAGAUGGAAAAUCUAGAUACUUCAUAUAGAGGAUGAAUCAACACUGCCUGAAGGUUGAUUCGCAGUACUCCAAGAUCUUGGAGUUGUGCAAUCUACGCUUGGCGGACAAGGUAGAAAAAAGGUUUUGGGAUCGUGGGAUCUACAAGCUCUCCGAAACUUAAGCCGGAUUUAAUGGUUUGAGAUAGAACAUUAAUGGAAGAUUGGCAGUUGCUUUAAACGUGGAUCCCUAAUUGUUGAUAAACUAGCUGGCAAGUUUAUUGAAGCAGAAACUCGACUUAAACAGGAACCGAAAGCCGGAACGCAAGGGUGUUCUUUUUCCAUACAAGAUGCCUGGGUCGCAUAUGAGAUGGUUUUUACUUUGGUUAGCAGUCCAAAGAGAGUUGUUCUUGGUGGAGUUGUUCUGGGUACCUCCUACCGCCAAAGUGUGUUUCGGCAUGAGAUGUCGUGCAACGUGCCUUUCCUGUGUGUAUGAUGCUGUUCUGUGUUUAGAUUGAAAGUCUGACUAUGAUUCUUACGUAGAUCUCUCACAAGAUCAGAACAAAAGCUCUCAGAAGUCUAGAAUACUGAGAAGUGAUACAUGCCUGCAAUUUCCAUCUCAUCCAUUAGUUCUGUUAGUCUGGUGCAGUCUUUUAAAUGAUUGCCCCAAGUCGGAAGUGAAGAAUUGCCCAUUCGCUGACCGGCUGGCUUUCCUGCUGCAGUUUCUGAACUUUGCGUAGGUUAUGCUCCUGCAAUAAUCUGCGGUGUGCUAUUUUGAUCCUGGAUACGGACAUUUAGUGAGGUUGCUCCAUCGUGAUCUGUGUUCUGAAACAGCUCGUUUAUGGUGCAAUAGUGUGAGAGAAAAAGAUUGAAGGAGAAGAUAAUAUAAACUGGUUGUAUUUUGAUAA
Molecule: RNA transcript, 2135 nt
Organism: Phoenix dactylifera (date palm)
Lineage: Eukaryota; Viridiplantae; Streptophyta; Magnoliopsida; Arecales; Arecaceae
Gene name: protein FLX-like 3
Source: RefSeq, a predicted model, not a curated record